Molecule: ribosomal RNA, 409 nt
Filed under: Bacteroidota bacterium
Lineage: Bacteria; Pseudomonadati; Bacteroidota
Description: Bacteroidetes bacterium partial 16S ribosomal RNA
Rfam family: Bacterial small subunit ribosomal RNA
Source: RNAcentral
UGGGGAAUAUUGCACAAUGGGCGAAAGCCUGAUGCAGCGACGCCGCGUGAGGGAUGACGGCCUUCGGGUUGUAAACCUCUUUCAGUAGGGACGAAGCGCAAGUGACGGUACCUGCAGAAGAAGCACCGGCUAACUACGUGCCAGCAGCCGCGGUAAUACGUAGGGUGCGAGCGUUGUCCGGAAUUACUGGGCGUAAAGAGCUCGUAGGCGGUUUGUCACGUCGUCUGUGAAAUCCUAGGGCUUAACCCUGGACGUGCAGGCGAUACGGGCUGACUUGAGUACUACAGGGGAGACUGGAAUUUCUGGUGUAGCGGUCGAAUGCACAGAUAUCAGGAAGAACACCGAUGGCGAAGGCAGGUCUCUGGGUAGUAACUGACGCUGAGGAGCGAAAGCAUGGGUAGCGAACAGG